UCCUAUUUUAACUAUCUUUAUCUUUAUCUAUUUAUACGAACUAUUAAAUGAUUCUGUGUUAAAUAAUCCUAUAUUAUUCUGUUAGUUAUUUUUAUAAAGUUGUACAUACACAAUAUUUAUAACCAAUACAUUGAUGAAAAUAGUUACGUGCAUCAUAGCUAUCAUAUGCAAGCUCGGAGACCUGUCCGCAAUGUCAUAGUGUAACGACAAGUGAUAAAAUUCACAAAGCUCAUUUCUCAUGGACUGAUGACUUGACUGUGGAUAAUUCAGAGAAUAUAUCCUUGCAAGAGAGAAUUGAUGACUUGAAAUUUCAAGUUUUAGAGAAAGAAAGGGAUGUCCAGCAUUACAUCGCCAAAAAUAAAUCUCUUGAGAUACAGAAUGCUGGUCUUAGACAGAAAGUACGAGAAGUAGAAAGUGAGAUCAGUCUUAAAAAUUCGACCAUCUGUGACUUAAAGAAUAAAGAUAUAAUAAAGAUUAAGUCACAACGUAACCUAUCACGUGAUAGGUUAAAAAAAAUGACUAUAACAAACGUACGGAGAGCACUUCAUAGAAAAAAUUGUGGCAAGAGAAUCAAAUUAAGCAGCUUGAACAAAUGCUUGCAACGCAUCGUAACUAUUUAUUGCAAAAAAAAA
Molecule: long non-coding RNA, 632 nt
Organism: Pogonomyrmex barbatus (red harvester ant)
Lineage: Eukaryota; Metazoa; Arthropoda; Insecta; Hymenoptera; Formicidae
Source: RefSeq, a predicted model, not a curated record